GUCUGAUGCAGCAACGCCGCGUGGAGGAUGACACAUUUCGGUGCGUAAACUCCUUUUAUAUGAGAAGAUAAUGACGGUAUUAUAUGAAUAAGCACCGGCUAACUCCGUGCCAGCAGCCGCGGUAAUACGGGGGGUGCAAGCGUUACUCGGAAUCACUGGGCGUAAAGAGCAUGUAGGCGGAUUAAUAAGUUUGAAGUGAAAUCCUAUAGCUUAACUAUAGAACUGCUUUGAAAACUGUUAAUCUAGAAUGUGGGAGAGGUAGAUGGAAUUUCUGGUGUAGGGGUAAAAUCCGUAGAGAUCAGAAGGAAUACCGAUUGCGAAGGCGAUCUACUGGAACAUUAUUGACGCUGAGAUGCGAAAGCGUGGGGAGCAAACAGGAUUAGAUACCCUGGUAGUCCACGCCCUAAACGAUGUACACUAGUUGUUGUGAGACUUGAUCUUGCAGUAAUGCAGUUAACACAUUAAGUGUACCGCCUGGGGAGUACUUC
This 488-nucleotide ribosomal RNA is filed under the name uncultured Arcobacter sp. RNAcentral's name for it is "bacterial SSU rRNA". It matches the Rfam family "Bacterial small subunit ribosomal RNA", at positions 381 to 886 of the family's 1533-position model. The record is from RNAcentral. Lineage: Bacteria; Pseudomonadati; Campylobacterota; Epsilonproteobacteria; Campylobacterales; Arcobacteraceae.